Molecule: ribosomal RNA, 583 nt
Filed under: uncultured Prevotella sp.
Lineage: Bacteria; Pseudomonadati; Bacteroidota; Bacteroidia; Bacteroidales; Prevotellaceae
Description: bacterial SSU rRNA
Rfam family: Bacterial small subunit ribosomal RNA
Source: RNAcentral
UCCAACCUGCCCACCACUUGGGGAUACCUUGCGAAAGUAAGACUAAUACCCAAUGAUAUCUCUAGAAGACAUCUGAAAGAGAUUAAAGAUUUAUCGGUGAUGGAUGGGGAUGCGUCUGAUUAGCUUGUUGGCGGGGUAACGGCCCACCAAGGCAACGAUCAGUAGGGGUUCUGAGAGGAAGGUCCCCCACAUUGGAACUGAGACACGGUCCAAACUCCUACGGGAGGCAGCAGUGAGGAAUAUUGGUCAAUGGACGAGAGUCUGAACCAGCCAAGUAGCGUGCAGGAAGACGGCCCUAUGGGUUGUAAACUGCUUUUAUAAGGGAAUAAAGUGAGAGUCGUGACUCUUUUUGCAUGUACCUUAUGAAUAAGGACCGGCUAAUUCCGUGCCAGCAGCCGCGGUAAUACGGAAGGUCCGGGCGUUAUCCGGAUUUAUUGGGUUUAAAGGGAGCGUAGGCCGGAGAUUAAGCGUGUUGUGAAAUGUAGAUGCUCAACAUCUGAACUGCAGCGCGAACUGGUUUCCUUGAGUACGCACAAAGUGGGCGGAAUUCGUGGUGUAGCGGUGAAAUGCUUAGAUAUCACGA